AAACAAUAAGCACCCUUUGUCAUAUUCACUAAAUAUCAUGGAACCUUUGCGAGAGGAACAAUUAAUGAACGCCAUAUAUAAUUAUAACUGAAUCUGCACAUACUAAGUCAAUGGCCAUGAAUUGAGCCAGAGAUCUUUUAGAAAUGCAACACCAUACUUAUAUACAAAUCUGUUACUCAGCUAGACAAGUAUUACCACGUACGAUCUCAGCGUUGGGCCUCAACUCAAUAACUUUGAAACCAAGUAUGUUCUAUCUGCAGUUUUACUAUUCAGAAAAGAAGAUAUCAGCGAUGCAUUCUUUUCUUCAUCUCAUGAUAUCAACAAGUAAUGGCAUUGACAAUACAGUCGUACCUGCAGAACAGCUAUGGUUUCGGCAAAGCAUAGGAAGGAACAGAACAUAAAUAUCCAGAAAAAGGAAGAAAAGCAAAAGAAAAACAGCCAUUCCAAAAUCCAACAAAAUAAUGUAUCAGCCAAAUGAGGGGUAAGUUAAAAUACAACUUGUAGAUCCAGUGUAUCGGUUCCAAAUCCAUGGAUGUUCAAUCUAUCCAAGUAAAGCCCAAGCCCUGAUGCUCAUGCAGGCGAGGUAGUGCAUAAUAUAUAUUUCAGAAAGCAAGGAUUUUAUUGCGGACACUGAUGAGUUAACUGAAAAAUUGAACUCUUGGUUAUGACAUCAACGACAUGCAAAGUCCAACUGCAACUACAGAAACCAAUGAAAUUUAGUAGCAGGUCAAGCUUUAGAAACAAAAGAGAUACAAAGGGGAACAUAUACAAAUCCGAAAACAGUAGAUAGAAGUUCCCUAAUAAUUGCAAGUAAUUCUGUUACAGUGCUAUUGAGGCAGUGGAUAACAAACAUCCGCAGAUGCUUUCCAGGGUUUAUUUUAGCUUAUGAGAGGAAAUUCCACAUAAUUAGCAACCUUCCAAAAUAAAAUCCGAUAAAUGACAUGGAGAAGGUACAAGUUCACUUAGAAUUGUAAGUACUUCCAUUUAGAAAAGGAAAGCAACCUUCCAAAAUAAAAUCCGAUAAAUGACAUGGAGAAGGGACAAGUUCACUUAGAAUUGUAAGUACUUCCAUUUAGAAAAGGAACGCAACCUUCCAAAAUAAAAUCCGAUAAAUGACAUGGAGAAGGGACAAGUUCACUUAGAAUUGUAAGUACUUCCAUUUAGAAAAAGGAAUUGUAAGAACUAAUUGCUACAGCAGUGAUGAGGCAACGAAUAAAAAAAACAUGAGAAGAUUGUAGGAGAUUCCACAUAUAUAAUAAGCAACCUUUACAUAUACUGUAGAUGAGAAAAAGCUAAAACGACCUUGCUCUCCUCAGAAGUUGUGUAGAGUGUGGUCGUUUUUUCCUGAGUGCAAGAAAGCAAAGAAAAUAAUAAUUCUGAAUUUGCCCAAAUAUCCACAGAAAGCAAGGGGGCUGGGACCUGGGAGAAUGAUUUACAAAAGGAGAUGUAUGCCAGAUCAAGCAUUUAUGAAUCAGUGGAUACUAAA
RNAcentral lists this long non-coding RNA (1486 nucleotides) under Triticum aestivum (bread wheat). RNAcentral describes it as "long non-coding RNA (TAES_LNC008943)". Lineage: Eukaryota; Viridiplantae; Streptophyta; Magnoliopsida; Poales; Poaceae. The record is from RNAcentral.